This 648-nucleotide long non-coding RNA is filed under the name Scleropages formosus (Asian bonytongue). Its description in RNAcentral is "lncRNA (ENSSFOG00015028917.1)". The record is from RNAcentral. Lineage: Eukaryota; Metazoa; Chordata; Actinopteri; Osteoglossiformes; Osteoglossidae.
AUGGCGACCAAGACGAACCUCACGGUUAUGUGCGGAGCUGGAGGCGGCGCCCAUGUAAUACUCAGCACUUUAAGCAACAGUUAUCUCCAUACCUUCCUGUCCCCAAUGCCAGUGAUCUUGCAGCACAGGGCAAAAUCACGUUCUGGAAAGCCAAAGAAGGCUCUGGAAAAGAGAAAGCCAGAGCAUAAGGAGGAAGCAUACGCCAAAAGAGUCCACAGACACCACUGAUUCUAGAGGGGGUGCUCCGCAGGCUUUUUUUUCCAGACGCCUGACACAGCGCAGGGUUCGACCUCCCCAAACACUCAUGUGAGGCUCUGCCCAGAGGAGGCUGGACUUCAGGCACCCAAGAGUCAAUCAGCACUGCAGAAAAUUCCAACCAGCGAAAACCAUGUUUAACUUCACCUGCUCUUCCUGAGCAGGAAUCAAAAUUUUGAGUUAAAACACAGAUUUAACAGUAGUUCCUGCCUUGUUUAUAAUCAAAAAGGUUGUGUCUAGGCUAGCCGGGUGGUCCAAUAUUGGGUGCAAAACAGUAUUCCAUCCUGAUUUUUAACAUUUGACUGCAACCUAGUAAGUACUAUUGCUGUGUACAGACAAAAUGUUAUAAGUUGUCUAAAUAAAAAUAAAAACAGCAAUAAAGGAGAAAGUGUU